RNAcentral lists this non-coding RNA (174 nucleotides) under Salegentibacter salinarum. The record is from RNAcentral. Lineage: Bacteria; Pseudomonadati; Bacteroidota; Flavobacteriia; Flavobacteriales; Flavobacteriaceae.
UCCAUCGUGAGGUGGAAUCUGAAGGAAGCCUGCGGCAAAGUUCCGGUCCGAGGAACACGAACAUCAUAUAAGGCAUAGCUGAUCUGGAUGAGCUUGCCAUACAAAGCGAAGUCCUAAAGCUAUACGGAGAUCAGGGUGUAGAUGAUGCGGAUAUAUGGAAUGAAAGUGAUAUGU